AUACGUAGGUGGCAAGCGUUGUCCGGAAUUAUUGGGCGUAAAGCGCAUGUAGGCGGUGCCUUAAGUCUGUCGUGAAACUGCGGGGCCUAACCCCGUAUGGCGAUGGAAACUGUGGCACUUGAGUGCAGGAGAGGAAAGGGGAACUCCCAGUGUAGCGGUGAAAUGCGUAGAUAUUGGGAAGAACACCGGUGGCGAAGGCGCCUUUCUAGGCUGUCCAUGGCGCUGGGUUGUGAACGGCAGGAUAGAAAAGGGGAUGAGACACCCGGGUAGUCCUGGCUGUAACCGAUGGGUACUAGGUGUGGGAGGUAUCGACCCCUACCGUGCUGGAGUUAACGUAAUAAGUACCCCGCCUGGGGAGUACGGCCGCAAGGCUUAAGCUCAAAUGAAUUGACGGGG
Molecule: ribosomal RNA, 396 nt
Filed under: uncultured bacterium
Lineage: Bacteria
Description: partial 16S ribosomal RNA
Rfam family: Bacterial small subunit ribosomal RNA
Source: RNAcentral